Long non-coding RNA from Dreissena polymorpha, 994 nucleotides. RefSeq lists it as uncharacterized. The record is from RefSeq and is a predicted model, not a curated record. The transcript has 2 exons. Lineage: Eukaryota; Metazoa; Mollusca; Bivalvia; Myida; Dreissenidae.
AGUAUUCUGUGUGUGUGAUGUGUCCUAAGGCUCUCUUUCUCCCUGCUGCAGACUAUGUGGCCAGAUAGUAUUCUGUGUGUGUGAUGUGUCUGUGCGUAGUGGAGAGGUGCGCCAUACAAUGGCCCUGUCAGACGUACACCCCGGCGUGUGGAGCUUAGGGUUGGCCUUCCCCGUAGUCAUGGUGAUCAUCAAUGAACUCGUGAAACAUCGGGAAGUCAAGGUUGCAGUUCGCUGUCAGAAGCGAGCUAGACUGGACUUUGGAACAAAGCUGGGCAUGAACUCGCCAUUUUGAUCUGUGAAAUGAAUUCAACUUAAGCACCUAUAAAACGGUGUAAUGUAUUUGUACAUUAUCAUACAAAAGGUGACUUAUUCUGUCAAAAUGGUUAAAGAGCAAAAAGCUGAUUAUUAUCUGCGCCUGGCUGUGGUAUACAUGCCAAGAUUACUUCAAAAUUGUUCACAGUUUGAGGAGCUUUAAUACCUCUUGUUGACAGCACCCAUCUACUGUCUCGCACAAAACUUGUCUUAUACAAGACUAGUUAAAUCAUGAUUAUUAAUAUAUAUUUUAUAUAGUUUACAUGGAACAUAACAAGUUUUUUGUUGAAAGACAAUUAAAUUUCAGUAAAAAUUUUUUUUUUUUACGUCAUUAAAAUCAGUGAAAAUAUCAGAAAUAGAAACGUUUUUCCAAGAAUUAUAUCGGUUUAGCAGUGUCAGUUUCGCACAAUUGAAAAUGCGUAAGAAACCAUUUUUCACAAUAAUUACAAAAUACUGGUACACAAAAAAGAAUCUUUAAAAUAUGCUUUUCCAUUGAAUGCAUAAGAACUUGACACAAUUAUAAUUAAGCUACGAAGCAUAGAUAAUUGAUUUUCCCAACCAUACACAUGGAUGACGUAUAGCACACAUUUUGAUGACACAAUACAUCUGCAAGAUGAUUCAGCUUAUCAGGAGUGAUUUUGUUUACUGUUCUGCAGCUUAAAAUAAAAAAGUGAUGCUUUCA